Molecule: non-coding RNA, 515 nt
Organism: Phyllostomus hastatus (greater spear-nosed bat)
Lineage: Eukaryota; Metazoa; Chordata; Mammalia; Chiroptera; Phyllostomidae
Source: the annotation of a RefSeq genome assembly
GACAGGCCCCGAAGCCACAUCAUCAGCUGUGGGUCAGAGGAAGAUCCUGGGGCUUCUCCACCAUGGCCUGGACCCCUCUCCUGCUCCCCCUCCUCACUCUCUACACAGGUUUGGUGGCCUCUUCUGAAGUGACUCAGCCCCCAGCAGUGUCUGUGACCUUGGGACAGACAACCAGGAUCACUUGCCAAGGAGAGUUCAUAAGAAAAUAUUAUCCUUCUUGGUACCAGCAGAAGCCAGGCCAGGCACCCAUGCUGCUCAUCUAUGGUGACGAGAAGCGAACUUCAGUGAUCCCUGACCGAUUCUCUGUUUCUGAACCAGAGGACACAACCACCCUGAUCAUCAGUGGGGCCCGGGCUGAGGACGAGGCUGUCUAUUACUGUUAUGCAGGAGAAAGCAGUAGUAACACUCACAGUGACACAGGCAGACGGGGAAGUGAGACAAAAACCCCUUCCCCAUCUGUGCACACUCUCCUCCUGCCCAAGUACGAGCAGAGACAAAGUUGUGAGCAGGUCUGA